GGUUGGAUGGCCGAGUGGUCUAAGGCGCCAGGUUAAGGUCCUGGUCUCUUCGGAGGCGCGAGUUCGAACCUCGCUUCAAUCA
Transfer RNA from Ascoidea rubescens DSM 1968, 82 nucleotides. It matches the Rfam family "tRNA". From Rfam's summary of the family: Transfer RNA (tRNA) molecules are approximately 80 nucleotides in length. Their secondary structure includes four short double-helical elements and three loops (D, anti-codon, and T loops). The record is from Rfam. Lineage: Eukaryota; Fungi; Ascomycota; Saccharomycetes; Ascoideales; Ascoideaceae.